CGCAGUCCCCCACUACCAGAAAUUAUGCAGAACUGAACCGUAGACAACCAAUCGAAUCACAGCUGAAAUUAGACAAACAAUCACAGCCCUCGUUCGGCUCCUGUGUGGGUUAAAAAGCGACUCGACAUUACGACAACACAGACCGUUAUAUGUAUUACAAAUCAGAGUUUAUUUCUGCGCCCUACUUUAAUUGCAAAGCUGCCUGCGGACAUAGGGUGACCUGUCUUGCGUGUUUAUGUGUAAUUGCUGCUAGCAUAAAAGUGAAGAUGGCAACGCUCCAUGUUGUGAACCCAGGCGCACCUGCACAUGGCCGUAAAGGCUGUAUUAGCGGCAACCAAAGAGGCAGGUCAUUACCCGGAGAAGUCGAUGAUCAAAGCUCUGCUUCUGUACCCCCCCACUGCUCUGGACCAUGCAGAGAUCUUCACAACAGAGAGAUCCCUGCACCAAGACAGGAGUGUCUGGGAAGGCUGGUGUCGCUUUCUGGCCAGUGUGGACUUGCACCUUUCCACUAGCUUGUGGUAAAAUAUGUAGUAAGUAUGUUUUGUUUAGGAGAAAGAUAAACUUUAUUGAUCCCACAGUGGGGAAAUUCAGCAAGAAACUAACCUGGACCAAUUAAUCUUGUAAUGAUGUAUAUGAUUGUGUUAAUAUGAUUGUGUUGAUGUUCAAGUAUGAUUCUUAGUUCCUGCAGUGGCUAUUUCCAGAUUCCAAAUUGUAAGUCCCUGCUUGCAAGUGUUUUCUGUUAGCUGAUCUUGAGUACUGUGCCUUUUGCAAUUUAACCUUUAGUUAAUAAAAGUUUGAAACUGCCUUCGUUGUAGUGCAUUUUGAGUCCAGCAGAGGUUACUAUGUAAACAUGUCUCAGUAUAUCUUUGAAGGUUUUUUCAGACAAAUUUGGAGAUUUUGCUUUUUUUGCCAUUUACCAAAUUAGAAUUUUAAAUGUCUACUUCCCUCAUAAAACAAAAUACUGUAGACGGCAUUAUGCAAUCACCCAAAUGUUAAACAGAUGCCAUAGGAACAAAACAGUCUACCUGAACUAUUGCCUUUAUAAAACUACAAGGAGGAGAAAAAGUACAUAGUUUGGAAAACCACUCCUUGACAAGAUCACCCACACAGGCAGCGUAUGACAACCAACAGCUACAACUGUACAGUGUACAGUAUGAGGGUUAUGGAAAGACAACUGUCAGAUCAGAUGCUGUUGUACCAUGUCAGUAUGUGGUACUGUUGGGUUUAUUCAUGCUUUCAGGCCCUGACAUCAUUCAGAACUCCACCAGGUAGGUGCGGGCCUUCAUGAGGCGUUUAUGGCGACUUUGCAAAGCUGCCCUCUUGCUGCCAAUGUCCAUGUCCUCCUUCAGGAAGAACUCCAAAUUCUCUUUGUCAUGAAGCAUCUGCAGCAUCUCACUCUGCAGCUGGACAGCAGACUCCUGCAACAUCUGGUAGCGGAUCACCAGCGGGAUCUGGUCCGCCAGACGCUGGCUGGCGAUCUGAAGGUGAAACCCAUGACUGUUACUGGAGAAACAUGUUAAAGCCUGUCUACAUCCCAGUGUCGUUCAUUCAUCCAAAUUUAAACCUACCUUGUAAUAGGACUUAAGGUGCAACAUCAGCUCCUGAAGGGUUGUGUUAUUAUUGCUGUGAAAAACAAAGCUUACAGAUAAUUGAGGGCUUUCCCUGCCUUCCUCCUCUGUCAUUUCUUUCUUUCUGUCACUCAGGCUGCUGCUGUACAUCCUGUCCUGGGAGUAAACGAGCAUCUCCAUCUUGAACUGAGUUCUUAUCAUGGACUCAGCAGUGGGCUCUCUCGCUUGCUUAAUGGCUUCAAUCUUUGC
This is a long non-coding RNA of Betta splendens (Siamese fighting fish), 1817 nucleotides long. RefSeq lists it as uncharacterized. The transcript is spliced from 2 exons. The record is from RefSeq and is a predicted model, not a curated record. NCBI's taxonomy places the organism in Eukaryota, Metazoa, Chordata, Actinopteri, Anabantiformes, Osphronemidae.